GUUCCUGCUCCGGCUCCUGCGGGGAUGGAUGCUUCACGCAGUAAGCGACCUAAGUCGCGGAAGCGUAGACACCCGGCUUUUCCCGCGUGCUCUAUCGGGCUCCCCUGGACACGGAGGGUGGAGCAGAAAGAGCAGAGGGGCCGGUGGGAGCCAUGGGGAGUCCGCCUAGCUCCAGAGGACACCUUACCUGGAUCCGCCUUUGUAGCCUCCUCCUGGCUCUGGGGGCUGUCCUGUGGGGUCCGAGUAGCUGAAAGACAGCCCCUCCAUGUGAGGAAGCCCCCAACUGGGGAAAACCCCCUCGUGGACUCAUUCCUGUCCCUGCAUGUGGCCUUCACCUGACUGUCUGCAUUGAGGCAUCCUCUGCCAAGAGCAAUUUCAAAGUGGCAGGAAAGUGCUGCUUUCAACAUCUGCCACAUUUGCAAGAAGAGCAAAGGUGGCCCAUUUGAGACCACCCUUGAACUAAACCAUCCAGUGAGCCCCUGAGGUCGGGACAGAAGUGGCCAUGACCUUCCUCAAGCAGGGACUGUGGUGGAGCCCACCUUAUCCAGCACAAGGUGGCCUGCUGACUUCUGGUGACAGUGAUGCCAACUUCCUGGCUGUCCAAGAAGCUGACAAGUACCUGCCGGAAAAACUGCCUCUUUUCCCUCCCGUGCUUGGAGCAGGCAUUGCUGACAGAUCACAGCUGCUGGGCCCAAAGGUCCCUUUGCACGCGGGACUUCAGGAAGUUGCUGCUGACCUAUGGGAGUUGGUGCAGAAAGAUGAAAUUUGUUAUCCUUGGCUGUAUCAACUCUCUCUCCUCUCCUUGGUGGUGAUAGUUUUGUUCUUAAAAGCCUCUUGUGAGAGAAUUUGUGGAUGAAGAACCUGUAAGAUCACAAGUGAAACAAUUUAUUGAUGUCAAUAGAUUUAUACACGUUCAUUAAGAAUCAAAACUAAACUAAAACAUCAGUCUGACUAAAGAGACCACCACAGAUAUUUCAUAUGCUGUACAUCAGUAACAAAGGGUACCAAAUAGUUAAUAUCCAUGUACUAGUCACAUGAGAAAUGUUUUAGGGUCAUUGACCAGUGUAGUCAGUACAGUGGUCCCAUGGUAUUUGUGGGGGAUUGGUUCCAGGAAUCUCUUGGACACCAACUCCGUGGAUGAUCAGACAAUAUAAAAUGUGGGUCAGGUGCGGUGGCUCAUACCUGUAAUCCCAGCAUUUUGCGAGAAUCACUUGAGGCCAGUUCAAGAUCAGCCUGUGCAACAUAGCAAGACUCCACCUCUAAAAAAAAAAAAAAAAAAAAAAAUUAGCCCAGUGCAGCGGUGUGCACCUGUAGUCCCAGCUUCUCAUGAGGUUGAGGUGAAAAGAUCACUUGGGCCCAGGAGUUUGAGGCUGCAGUGAGCUGUGACUGCCACUGCACUCCAGCCUGAGUGACAAAGCAAGUCCCUGUCUCUUAAAAAAUAAAAUAAAAUAAUAGCAUUUGAAUGUAACCUACACACAUCUCCCAUAUACUUUAAAUCAUCUGUAGAUUGCUUAUAAUACCUAAUACACUGUAAAUGCUAUGUAAAUAGUUGUUAUUCUGUGUAGUUUUUAAAAACGUGUAUUUCUUAUUGUAUUUUUUUGUUUGUUUUUUGUUGUUUUUG
RNAcentral lists this long non-coding RNA (1621 nucleotides) under Homo sapiens (human). Its description in RNAcentral is "non-protein coding lnc-PAPOLA-1:11". Lineage: Eukaryota; Metazoa; Chordata; Mammalia; Primates; Hominidae. The record is from RNAcentral.